This 253-nucleotide ribosomal RNA is filed under the name uncultured bacterium. RNAcentral's name for it is "partial 16S ribosomal RNA". It matches the Rfam family "Bacterial small subunit ribosomal RNA", at positions 524 to 776 of the family's 1533-position model. The record is from RNAcentral.
UACGUAGGGGGCAAGCGUCAUCCGGAUUUACUGGGUGUAAAGGGAGCGUAGACGGCGAUGCAAGCCAGAUGUGAAAGCCCGGGGCUCAACCCCGGGACUGCAUUUGGAACUGUAUAGCUAGAGUGUCGGAGAGGCAGGCGGAAUUCCUAGUGUAGCGGUGAAAUGCGUAGAUAUUAGGAGGAACACCAGUGGCGAAGGCGGCCUGCUGGACGAUGACUGACGUUGAGGCUCGAAAGCGUGGGGAGCAAACAGG